Molecule: long non-coding RNA, 1708 nt
Organism: Bos taurus (domestic cattle)
Lineage: Eukaryota; Metazoa; Chordata; Mammalia; Artiodactyla; Bovidae
Source: Ensembl
GGGGUUUGUUCAUUCACUCAGUGACCGCCAACAGAGGCCCACCUUGCAGCAGGUGCCGGGAGAUGCUUUCAAAUUUACAAAGAGCAGAGGACCCCUGAUUGUCCCCUGGGUGUUUAACAGGAAUAAUAGGGGCGGGAGCCUGGGAGUGCAAGGGGUAGGCCGCGCUGGACUCGCCCACAGUCUCCUGCUCUUCCUGGGCCGACACUUGCAUCCUCCCCAGUGACCAUCACCACCGAGUCACAACGUGCCCCAGCAAGUAGCAGGCACACCUCCACGACGGGCUAACGACAGGACGGCUUUCCUCCUCCCUGGACAUCUGUGAACUAGGAUGUUCUGUUCUUCCCCCUUAGAGAGGAGACUAAGGCACGAGGCAGGUGAGUCCCACGGCUGGGGAUGGCAGAGAGAGGCACUCAACGCAGGUCCGGAGCCAAGGCCUGUGGUCCGCUCCCCGCCCCCGUCCUGCCUUUCCUUAGAGAGCUCGGAACCCGGCCAGGCUGCUCCUGUUCCUCUGUGGGGCCCAGGGGGCCCGGGAUGGGGUUGAGAGUCUCACUACGGAGGAGGCCUGGGAACUGGACCCAGAGCCCAUCCGGCCGCCCCGGAUGAAGGCGCGAACAUCCGGGCAUUUCCUGUUCCCGAGCAUGGGGGCCUGGGCCCGGCCAGCUCCAGGGAGCCAGCUAGGCGGGAAGGGGCUGCCAGGGCCCUGGCACCAGCCCCGGGCCGUGUGCACUCGGCCAGCUCCGUUGGCUGCCCAUCAAGGCUUCAAAGGGGUGGGUGAAGCAAGCCGGGGGGCCGGGCUGGCCGGGUCUGCCUGAAACCGAGACGGGAGAACAAAAGGAGGCCGUUGUGGGCUGGUUGGGCGGGAGCCCUGGCGGGAAGGAGGGCGGGAACCGGGAGGCCCCAAGGUGCGGGCGGCCCGGGCGGUAGGCAGGAUCCAGUCAUGGCUUCUGCACACAGGAAUCCGGGCCCAGGAAAGGCACCUUGGCAGGUGGCGGCAGCCAGCUUCAAGGCUACAUGCUGCAUCUGUCAGGGAUCUGUAGGACUUGGGGGCUGUGCCUUGCAGAGAAUUCAUCUGUCUGUCCCCUAGGCCAAUGUGCCCACCCAGCCACCAGGAGCCAGACACUUGUGUCGCUGAACGCCAGCCAUGAGCCAGAACAACAGGAGCCCUGCUUUGGCUGGUUUGUGCAGGUACAAUCCCAGGGUCUCUCCAAGAUGAGAGGGCAGAAGUCACAGAAGUCUGGGACCUGACAUACACCUGGACGCCCCUCUUGACUCCAUCACCAGCUGUGAUCUUGGACAAGUGACUGACCCCCAAGCCUUAGUACCGGGCACACAAUAAGUGCUCAAUAAACGUCCCAGGCUGGGAGUACAUCAGCACAUUGGAAGGGUGUAGAAGAUUCAUGGCGAGGUCAAGUAUGAGAAAGUACUUAUCAAGGCAGAAGCCCUCUUGUCAGAAGAAGUGGCCUCGGAACCAACCUCACUCGUGGUUCUAGAAGGAAGGAAGUCAUACUGAGACUCUGGAUGAACUGAAAUCGCUCCUGAUGUCUAAUCCAAGGCCGGCAGUGUGUCAGAGCAGGUUCUUGCCAGAACUGCAGCAAACACUCGCUGACGUGGCACAAAACAGGCUGGGAAUGGCACGAAGUGGGCCACUUGGAGGGGCCUGGAGUGCUGCCCUGCCAGAGGGGGACCUCUCUUCCUCUGGGACUGAACG